Molecule: transfer RNA, 64 nt
Filed under: Hyalopeplus sp.
Lineage: Eukaryota; Metazoa; Arthropoda; Insecta; Hemiptera; Miridae
Description: tRNA-Cys
Source: RNAcentral
GGCUUUAUAUUCAAUAUUAUGAUUUUAGAUUGCAAUUCUAAAGUAGUGUUUAUCACUAAAGCUU